RNAcentral lists this non-coding RNA (248 nucleotides) under Phalacrocorax carbo (great cormorant). RNAcentral's name for it is "Eukaryotic small subunit ribosomal RNA". It matches the Rfam family "Eukaryotic small subunit ribosomal RNA", at positions 1210 to 1481 of the family's 1831-position model. Lineage: Eukaryota; Metazoa; Chordata; Aves; Suliformes; Phalacrocoracidae. The record is from Rfam by way of RNAcentral.
AAACCCCACCCAGCCUGGACACAGACAGGACUGGCAGAUUGAGAGCUCUUUCUAAAUUCCAUGGGUGAUGGUGCCCUGCCAUUCUUUGUGCAGUGACUUGUCUGGUUAUUUCCAAUAACAAACAAUACUGUGGCAUGCUAACUAGUUAUGCGCCCCCUCAGUGGUUGAUGUCCAAAUUCUUCAAGGGACAAGUGGCAUUCAGCAACAUGAGGUAGAGCAACAACAGGUCUGUGAUGCUCUUUACUGUG